UGGAUGCAGGCGACCUUGUAUAUAUAGUGCCCCCCGACGGUCGAGAUGGAAGCACGACCAACGAGGAACUCCCAGAUUGCGCCACGUGGCGACAUCCGGGCCAUCUUUCAGCCCGACGGUUCGACGCACCCGUCCUCAGAUCGAGCCACGUUACCUCCAUCCGCUCGAACGGACCCGGCCCAAUGGCCACCUGCCAUGUGGCGA
This 204-nucleotide long non-coding RNA is filed under the name Elaeis guineensis (African oil palm). Its description in RNAcentral is "long non-coding RNA (EGUI_LNC016663)". The record is from RNAcentral. Lineage: Eukaryota; Viridiplantae; Streptophyta; Magnoliopsida; Arecales; Arecaceae.